UACGGAGGAUGCAAGCGUUAUCCGGAAUGAUUGGGCGUAAAGCGUCCGCAGGUGGCUGUGUAAGUCUGCUGUUAAAGAGUGAGGCUCAACCUCAUAAAGGCAGUGGAAACUACAUGGCUAGAGUGCGUUCGGGGCAGAGGGAAUUCCUGGUGUAGCGGUGAAAUGCGUAGAGAUCAGGAAGAACACCGGUGGCGAAAGCGCUCUGCUAGGCCGCAACUGACACUCAGGGACGAAAGCUAGGGGAGCGAAUGGG
Molecule: ribosomal RNA, 253 nt
Filed under: uncultured bacterium
Lineage: Bacteria
Description: partial 16S ribosomal RNA
Rfam family: Bacterial small subunit ribosomal RNA
Source: RNAcentral